RNAcentral lists this ribosomal RNA (253 nucleotides) under uncultured bacterium. RNAcentral's name for it is "partial 16S ribosomal RNA". It matches the Rfam family "Bacterial small subunit ribosomal RNA", at positions 524 to 776 of the family's 1533-position model. The record is from RNAcentral.
UACGGGGGGUGCGAGCGUUGUCCGGAAUCACUGGGCGUAAAGGGCGCGUAGGUGGUUUGAUAAGGGUGUGGUGAAAGCCCGGGGCUCAACCCCGGGUCUGCCGUGCCGACUGUCAAACUCGAGGGCUGUAGAGGCAGACGGAAUUCCGGGUGUAGCGGUGGAAUGCGUAGAGAUCCGGAGGAAGACCGGUGGCGAAGGCGGUCUGCUGGGCAGUUGCUGACGCUGAUGCGCGACAGCGUGGGGAGCAAACAGG